This 497-nucleotide ribosomal RNA is filed under the name uncultured bacterium. Its description in RNAcentral is "partial 16S ribosomal RNA". It matches the Rfam family "Bacterial small subunit ribosomal RNA", at positions 28 to 507 of the family's 1533-position model. The record is from RNAcentral.
GAUGAACGCUGGCGGCGUGCCUAAUACAUGCAAGUCGAGCGAACAGACGAGGAGCUUGCUCCUCUGACGUUAGCGGCGGACGGGUGAGUAACACGUGGAUAACCUACCUAUAAGACUGGGAUAACUUCGGGAAACCGGAGCUAAUACCGGAUAAUAUAUUGAACCGCAUGGUUCAAUAGUGAAAGACGGUUUUGCUGUCACUUAUAGAUGGAUCCGCGCCGCAUUAGCUAGUUGGUAAGGUAACGGCUUACCAAGGCAACGAUGCUUAGCCGACCUGAGAGGGUGAUCGGCCACACUGGAACUGAGACACGGUCCAGACUCCUACGGGAGGCAGCAGUAGGGAAUCUUCCGCAAUGGGCGAAAGCUUGACGGAGCAACGCCGCGUGAGUGAUGAAGGUCUUCGGAUCGUAAAACUCUGUUAUUAGGGAAGAACAAAUGUGUAAGUAACUAUGCACGUCUUGACGGUACCUAAUCAGAAAGCCACGGCUAACUACGUG